Molecule: long non-coding RNA, 1766 nt
Organism: Acinonyx jubatus (cheetah)
Lineage: Eukaryota; Metazoa; Chordata; Mammalia; Carnivora; Felidae
Exons: 3
Source: RefSeq, a predicted model, not a curated record
GUAAAUAAACACUAAAAAAAAAUUUAAGAAUCUUCUGAGCCUUAAAUUUUCUCAACUGAGAAUCAGAGAUCACAACAGUGAGAUUUUACACUGUUGGGAUUUAGACAAAGCCCAAGAGACAGGUGAGCUACUGUAUUUCCUUGAGUAUAGGAUGCCCCUGGCAAGGUGCUUGGUGAACCUGUACCCCAAGAAAGCACGAAUCCCUCACCCCUAGGACACAGUGCUUGCUUAUCAUUCAGUGGUUUGUUUGGUUGGUUUUGGUUUUACUAUAUUUUGUAAUUAAGUUUUUUUAAUUUUAAUUCCAGUAUAGUUAACACUCAGUGUUAUAUUAGUUUCAGGAGUCCGAUAUAGUGAUUCAACAAUUCUAUCCAUCACUCAGUGCUUAUCACGACAGGUGCAUCAUCUGUUUCCCCCCUAUCCCCACCUACCUCCCCUCUGGUCACCAUCCUUGUGUUCUCUAGAGUUAAAAGUCUGUGUCUUGGGGGCGCCCGGGUGGCUCAGUCGGUUAAGUGUUCGACUUCAGCUCAGGUCAUGAUUUUGCGGUUUGUGAGUUUGAGCCCCUUGUUGGGCUCUGCGCUGACAGCUCAGAGCCUGGAGCCUGUUUCAGGAUCUGUGUCUCCCUCUCUCUCUCAGCCUCCCUUGCAUGUGCUUGUGCGCUCGCUCUCUCUCUCUCUCACAAAAGUAAAUAAACAUUAAAAAUAAAAUAAAACAGUCCCUGUUUGCUAGCAUCCCUUACUUUGGAGAAUGACGCCCACUUCCCUUUUUGAUGAGAAACCCAUCCCCAACCCUCCAAGGCGCUGACCUCCUCAAUCAGUUGGACCCGACCAAUCAAAAGGCCGCCAUCCUUUUGCCCACAGUCAUUGGUCGAAGUGGGCCAAUUAGCAUCCUGUCUUCAACUUUUCUCCUCGAGCUCCUCCCGGAAAUUCUUCUGCCGGGGUUGCUUCAGCUGCAGGUUAGGUUCUUGAGCUGCUGCGGCCUCUCCUACCCCGAAGCACAGACUGACCUCUGAUGAUAUUGUUUGGGCUCCUGGCUCCCGCUGUCAGGUACAGCAGAGCCCAGAAAUGGAGAAAGAGAAGUCCUGGAUCGUCAUGUCGUCCCCGCAGAUUUCCACCUCCACAAAGGGACAUGCGAUGCUUCGGCCAAGUUUGGGGAGAUGGCGAGCCCCGAGGACCUAGGGCACCAAAGGUAAACAAGUCUUUUAUCGCCUCACCCAGUUGAAACACGAGGUCAGAAAAAUCCAAAAUGGAAAACAAUCUUCGGUCUUACCAGCUUUUAUCAGCAAGAACAGAAGCCUUUAGGACAGUAAGUUCUGAUCUCAACUUUACAACCCAAAGCACCUUGUUAAAACGGUCUAAAGGCAUAACUACUAUGGGCAAGCUACUUAUCCUUUAAGAUUUUGCACCUUAUAUUUUUAUUGUUUCAAAAAAAAAACAUCCCGGGAAGCCACUUCUUCAAUAAGUCCCGUAAAAAAAAAUGCUGUAAGACUUCUGCGUCAGUGGCAGAAUAGUUGCAGGAAUAUUUUAUUAAAAAGUUGCAAGAUGAAGCUAUACUAUGACCCCAUUUGUAUUUUUUAAAAAUGGAAGGGAAUACGAUGUAUUUUCCAUAGGUACAUGUUCAUGGAGCCAAUUUUUUCUUGAAGUCCACACAUGACACCAGUUAAGAAAGUGUGUUUUCUUACAGGACAAGGACCCAGAUGAGAAGGACCACAGGGGGUUUAGCCUUCACUGCAAUGUCUUAAUUUUUUAUUAUUUUUUUAAUAGUUAUUU